GACGAACGCUGGCGGCGUGCUUAACACAUGCAAGUCGAACGGAAAGGCCCUGCUUUUUUGGGGUGCUCGAGUGGCGAACGGGUGCGUAACACGUGAGUAUCCUGCCCUUGACUUUGGGAUAACUUCAGGAAACUGGGGCUAAUACCGGAUAGGAGCUCCCGCUCCAGUGUGGGGGGUGGAACGUUUGGGCGGUUGGGGAUGGACUCGCGGCUUAUCAGCUUGUUGGUGGGGUGGUGGCUUACCAAGGCUUAGACGGAUAGCCGGCCUGAGAGGGGGACCGGCCUCAGUGGGACUAAGGGACGGACCAGACUCCUACGUGGGGCAGCAGGGGAGAGUAUUGCACAAUGAGCGGAAGCCUGAGGCAGCAACGCCGCGUGCGGAAUGACGUCUUUCGGGUUGAGAACAGCUUUCGCCUGUGACGACGCGUGAGUGACGGUAAUGGGUAAAGAAGCACCGGCUAACUACGUG
RNAcentral lists this ribosomal RNA (468 nucleotides) under uncultured bacterium. RNAcentral describes it as "partial 16S ribosomal RNA". It matches the Rfam family "Bacterial small subunit ribosomal RNA", at positions 28 to 507 of the family's 1533-position model. The record is from RNAcentral.